Brassica napus (rape) is the source of this 2511-nucleotide RNA transcript. RefSeq lists it as uncharacterized. The record is from RefSeq and is a predicted model, not a curated record. The transcript has 9 exons. NCBI's taxonomy places the organism in Eukaryota, Viridiplantae, Streptophyta, Magnoliopsida, Brassicales, Brassicaceae.
CCUUUGGACUAUUCUUACAAUUGGUGUACACAGAAACUCCAGCCACAAAUUACUGCAAUUAAUCCAGAAACAAUAAGCCACUUAAUCAUUAAUCACUUUCAUAUAAGGGAUUAAAAACCUGUUUGGUUCUUCCUUAUAUCAUUAUUACCUGAGAAUUAAUAUAGCCUUGUGUCAGACUGUAAAAACAUGCCUUUCCAGUUUCCAGAUAAAGAAGACUUUUUACUAAAGAAGAUUUCACUGGAACGAGUUCCAAUAUUCAACACUGUUGUAAAAUGUUUUAUUUUACCAACUAGCCCUUUUAAAUCGUGUGUAGUAAACACGUGUCUAAUAUAUAACAGGGGUAAAAAGAGAAAGUAAACCAAAAAGUAGCGUUGGGUCUAUUUAUUCUGAUAAUUUCCGCCUAAAAAUCGGAGUUUCCCUCAAAAAAAUAUCUGCAUACAGCUCGUUUCUUGUUUGCACAGUGUCAUUUAGGUUAAGCCACCACCAAAGUAGCGAAUAUGAAAGCUAGAGAUAUGGAUGCAGUGGAGAUUGUUGAUGUGGACGAUGAGGAAGGGGAGGAGAAGGAGUGCGAGGACUGGUGCUUCGUCUGCAAAGAUGGUGGAAGCUUAAUGCUCUGUGACUACAAGGACUGUCCAAAAGUUUAUCAUGCUUCUUGCGUUGAAAAGAAUAUCUCAAUACAGAACAAUGAAGAAUCUUUGAUCUGUAUGUGGCACAGUUGCCACUUGUGUAACAAGAGACCAAAGCUGUUCUGUCUCUGUUGCCCACAUGCUGUAUGUCAAGGCUGUGUUACUCGUGCUGAGUUUAUGCACCUUAAAGAGAACAAAGGCUUAUGCAAUCAUUGCCAAGAGUAUGUCAUUACUUUAGAAGAGAUUCAAGAAUAUGAUGCUACUGGGGAUAAGAUUGACUUAACAGACAGGGAUACAUUUGAGUGUCUGUUUCUUGAGUAUUGGGAGAUAAUAAAGAAUCAAGAAGGGGUGACUUUUGAUGAUGUCAUUGCUUCAAAGUCAAGAACGAAAGCUGCUAAGGCUAAGUCAAGGUACAAAGAUGAUCCCAAGUUUGAGCUUCAUCAUGUCAACUCUUCAAAGUCACCAAAGAAAGGCAUCAAGAUCAAGGAUGAUGAUGAUGAUGGUCCAGAGUUUUCCUUAACUAAUUAUGGGGUUGAUGAUGUAGAAGAUUAUAAGACAACACUCAAACCAAAGAGAAUGGAGUUUAUUGGAUGGGGUUCAAAGCCUCUUAUUGAUUUCCUGACGUCCAUAGGGGAAGACACAAGAGAGGAGAUGUCUCAACACAGUGUUGAGUCAGUUAUCAGAAGAUACAUUCGUCAGAAAAACCUGCUUGAUGAUGAAAAGAAGAAGAAGAAAGUUCGGUGUGACGAGAAGCUGUUCUCUAUCUUCAGGAAGAAGUAUGUGAAUCAAAGGAGGAUUUACUCACUUUUAAAUGCUCAUUUUAAAGAGAACGUUGAGCAGUUGGAGUAUAUCACACUCUUGGAACGUGGCUUUGGUGAGAAGAAUGAGAAUGUUUCAGUGCCUUGCAAGAAGCAGAAGACAGAAACGUCAGAGGAUGAGGAACCUUGUGAGAAGGAAGUAAAACCUGAGAUGAGACCAACCGGUUUAGCUGCGAUCAGUGCAGAUAAUAUAAAGCUUGUUUAUCUACGCAAGAGCUUGGUCUUAGAGUUAGUGAAGCAGAGUGAGAGUUUUAGGAGCAAAGUGGUAGGAAGCUUUGUGAAAGUGAGGAAUGACCCUAGAGAUCCUGUAGCGUUCCAGAUCUUGCAGGUUACAGACAUCAAAUGUGUUGAUGACAAGGGCAUGUUUCUCUAUGUUGCUGGUAUAGCAAGUGAUGUUAGCAUUGCUAAGCUGGAUGAUUCUGACAUAACCAAGCUAAAACAUUUCCUCUUCAGGAAGAGGUUGAUGAUUUGAAGCAUAAAAUUAUGAGUGGCCUUCUAAGACAACCAACUAUUGUUGAGAUGGAGCAGAAGGCUAAGGUCCUCCAUGAGGAUAUAACAAAACAUUGGAUAACAAGGCAGCUUAUCAUUCUUCAAAAACGCAUCAACUGUGCUAAUGAGAAAGGAUGGAGAAAAGAAUUAGAGGAGUAUUUAGAGGAGAGAGAGCUUCUCCAAAAGCCUUCAGAGCAGGAGAGAUUGUUGAGACAAACUCCAAAGAUCAUUGAAGAACUCAUCGAGAUUGAACAAGAUCCACCAGCUGCAUCCUCAGAUAGCAGCAAACAAGGGAAUAUCAGUGGUCUGUCUCAGGAAGUGGUCAUGAUAGAUAUUGACUGAGAAGCCAAAGAUUCUGCAGCAUCCUCAAGAGGAAGAAGAUUGUUUUUUCUUGUACAUUUGUCCUUCUCUUCCAUUAGAACUUAUAAAAUUAUCGGCUAAUUCCUAAUGGCUCUUCUUUUGGUACUGACUAGCUUCUGUAGAAACAAGAAGCUUAUGACUUCCUGAGCUACUUAUGUUUUGUAAUGAUGGGUCUCAUGUAUGUAAUGUGCUAGUGACAUGGCAUGCUUUAUGUUUCA